AAGAAAAAUGUUUUGGGCUUGUGCCAGGUCAACAUUUGAAGCUCAACUCAGGAGGAACUUGGACAAAUUAGCACUGUUAGGUGAAGGUAUUUCUAACAGCUUAGCAAGCUUUAAUCCUGAAAGAUGGUCUAAAGCAAUGUUCAAGACAACUUCAAAAUGUGACAAUGUGGAUAACAAUAUGGUGGAAAGCUUCAAUGCUUGGGUGUUGGGUGCUAGGCACAAGACUAUCAUCAGUAUGCCUGAAGAGAUUAGGACAAAGGUAAUGAAUAGGUUCACCAAGGUGGUAGCAUUUGCGGAUAGCUGGACCUAUGACAUAUCCCCAAUGGUAAUGUCGAUAUUAAAUACAAAUGUGGAGAUGUCGAUGAGGGUGGAAAUUAAGUGGGAUGGUGACAUUGGAUAUGAAGUGAAGGAUGGUCGAUAUAAACGUGUGGUUAACCUAAUUCAGGGAACUUGUACUUGCAGAAUUUGGGCACUUAAAGGGAUUCCUUGUGCACAUGCAAUAGCGUACCAUGCAUCACGAUGAAGCCAAUCCCCUUGAUGCAGUUUAUACAUGGUACAAAAAAGAGACCUACUUGAGAGCUUAUGGAAAUUUCUUACAACCAAUAACCAAUAUGGAGAUGUGGCCUGAGAUAUCAAAUCCAAAAGUUGAGCCACCUCCUGUUAGGAAAAUGCUCGGAAGGCCUUCAAAAAAAGAGAAAGAAGGAGCUUGGAGAGGUAUCAAGUUGUGGAAAGCUUUCAAAGAAGGGAAAAAUCAUAAAGGUGCUCAGUUUGUAAGUCAACAAAUCACAAUAUAAGAACAUGUCCAAACAAACCUCCCGCUACUUCAAAGGGAGUAGCUACAUCACAAGCAUCCACCAGUGGAAAAAAAUCAAGGGCGCACAUAGAAAAAAAUGCUACAAGUAAGGGUGGUAAAGGAAGUCCCAAGCAACAAUCUCAUUCGUCUCAGCCCUCUCAAGUAGUGCAACAAUCUCAAUCCUCUCAAUCAUCUCAAGCAAUAGUGGAAAGUGGCAGUGGUAGUGGAAGUACAAAAGGUGCAAGCAAUACAUUUAAGAGGCCAAGAGUAGUGGGCCAUGGCGUGUUUGUGAGCAAAAGCGGCUUUACUUGUGCUGAGGACGACCGACUAGUAGGGUAAUCAAAAGUGGAGCACAAGAGAAAUUGAUAAGUUCAGUCAGGUAUUUGGUGAUCUUGGUUAUGCACCAAGUAAAGGUCUCAAAUGGAAUGGAAAAAAGGCUAUCACAGGAAGGCAACUUCAACAUAAAAGUGCAUCACUUAGGUAUAUGAAAACCAAGUCACAAGCUUCAUCACAAAGUGCAACAAAAGCUGGAGGUGUUUAGGAAAGACAUGACUGAUUUUUGUUGCGGUUUGAACUACUUUAACUGGAGGUGUUUAGGAAAGACGAGACUGAUUUUUUGUUGUGGUUCAAACUAUUUCUACGUUGUGUAUUUUGAUGGUGAA
Molecule: long non-coding RNA, 1455 nt
Organism: Lycium ferocissimum
Lineage: Eukaryota; Viridiplantae; Streptophyta; Magnoliopsida; Solanales; Solanaceae
Exons: 3
Source: RefSeq, a predicted model, not a curated record